GAUGAAACCGCUUCGGUGGUGGAUUAGUGGCGCACGGGUGAGUAACACGUGGGCAAUCUGCCCUUCACUCUGGGACAAGCCCUGGAAACGGGGUCUAAUACCGGAUAAUACUCCUGCCUGCAUGGGUGGGGGUUGAAAGCUCCGGCGGUGAAGGAUGAGCCCGCGGCCUAUCAGCUUGUUGGUGGGGUAAUGGCCUACCAAGGCGACGACGGGUAGCCGGCCUGAGAGGGCGACCGGCCACACUGGGACUGAGACACGGCCCAGACUCCUACGGGAGGCAGCAGUGGGGAAUAUUGCACAAUGGGCGAAAGCCUGAUGCAUCGACGCCGCGUGAGGGAUGACGGCCUUCGGGUUGUAAACCUCUUUCAGCAGGGAAGAAGCGCAAGUGACGGUACCUGCAGAAGAAGCGCCGGCUAACUACGUGCCAGCAGCCGCGGUAAUACGUAGGGCGCAAGCGUUGUCCGGAAUUAUUGGGCGUAAAGAGCUCGUAGGCGGCUUGUCACGUCGGAUGUGAAAGCCCGGGGCUUAACCCCGGGUCUGCAUUUCGAUACGGGCUAGCUAGAGUGUGGUAGGGGAGAUCGGAAUUCCUGGUGUAGCGGUGAAAUGCGCAGAUAUCAGGAGGAGCACCGGUGGCGAAGGCGGAUCUCUGGGCCAUUACUGACGC
This 664-nucleotide ribosomal RNA is filed under the name Streptomyces sp. LEN03. Its description in RNAcentral is "bacterial SSU rRNA". It matches the Rfam family "Bacterial small subunit ribosomal RNA", at positions 68 to 746 of the family's 1533-position model. Lineage: Bacteria; Bacillati; Actinomycetota; Actinomycetes; Kitasatosporales; Streptomycetaceae. The record is from RNAcentral.